Molecule: RNase P RNA, 397 nt
Filed under: Bacteroidetes bacterium HGW-Bacteroidetes-21
Lineage: Bacteria; Pseudomonadati; Bacteroidota
Description: RNase P RNA component class A
Rfam family: Bacterial RNase P class A
About the family: Ribonuclease P (RNase P) is a ubiquitous endoribonuclease, found in archaea, bacteria and eukarya as well as chloroplasts and mitochondria.
Source: RNAcentral
GCAGCAGGCCGUUCCAUCGCUCCUGUUUACAGGGGAGGAAAGUCCGGACAACACAGAGCACCGUGCUUCCUAACGGGAAGAUAUCCGUAAGGGUAUGGUAAUGUAACAGAAAACAACCGUCUGCCGGCUAAAAAGAAUGGACGUGUCCAUUUUUGUUCGCUUCGGUGAACUAAGGCAGAUAAGGGUGAAAAGGUGGGGUAAGAGCCCACCGGUUCGGGUGGCGACAUCCGGAGCCGUACAUCCUGCGGGUUGCAAGGUCAUGUAUACCGGCAAUAGGAUUGCUCGUCCGUGUCGGGGGGUAGACCGCCAGAGGUUGCAGGCAACUGCAAUCCCAGACAAAUGAUGGAAGCCGGCCGAAAGGCCGGAACAGAAUCCGGCUUACAGGCCUGCUAUUUUU